UACGGAGGGUGCAAGCGUUAUCCGGAUUCACUGGGUUUAAAGGGUGCGUAGGUGGGUUGGUAAGUCAGUGGUGAAAUCUCCGAGCUUAACUCGGAAACUGCCAUUGAUACUAUUAAUCUUGAAUAUUGUGGAGGUCAGCGGAAUAUGUCAUGUAGCGGUGAAAUGCUUAGAGAUGACAUAGAACACCAAUUGCGAAGGCAGCUGGCUACACAUAUAUUGACACUGAGGCACGAAAGCGUGGGGAGCGAACAGG
This 253-nucleotide ribosomal RNA is filed under the name uncultured bacterium. Its description in RNAcentral is "partial 16S ribosomal RNA". It matches the Rfam family "Bacterial small subunit ribosomal RNA", at positions 524 to 776 of the family's 1533-position model. The record is from RNAcentral.